RNAcentral lists this unclassified non-coding RNA (1105 nucleotides) under Hevea brasiliensis (rubber tree). Lineage: Eukaryota; Viridiplantae; Streptophyta; Magnoliopsida; Malpighiales; Euphorbiaceae. The record is from RNAcentral.
UUAAGGAAUCUUUCUCAUAUAAUAAUGAUAUGAUUUUUUUUUCUUGGAUGUUUAUUAUAAGAUCAAUUAAUUGGAAAAUGAUUAUUAGGUUGGUCUUGAUGGGAAACGAGAACUGUCUAAAAAGUAUCAGCGAGAAGAUAGCAGGAACAGUAAGGGGUAUUGUGCCUGUGGAGAUUGUAGGAAUGGAUAUGGAGGAGGAAAGGGAGGGAGCUUUUGAUGACGCAGUGUGUGAGGCAUGCAGGAUUUUGGGGAAUUUGGAUGCUUUUGUACAUUGCUACGACUAUGAAGGUAUUAUCUGUAACCUUUUUUUCCUCUUUGGACUAUUAAUUUUUUAAUAACGAAAGUAAAGAAGGGAGAGACAAUUAAAAAGUCAGGUCAUCCAAUAUGGAUAGUUAAUUGGUCGAUGGACAAUAGACUAAUAGAAUAGAAUUUGGAACUUACAAGGUAAAACACUAUUGCUGCCAUACACGGAAAGGUUGAAAAAUUCCCAAUCUUUUGUAGAAGGGAACAGAAGACUUGGUGGGUUGGGGAAGGAAAGUCAAGGUGGGUACUUGAACUAUACUUGGUAAGAAACUUGAAGGAAAAAGAGGGUAGAGUAUUUCCACUUAUUUGGUCCAAGUAUGCAAGGAAAAAGAGAAAAAAUUAUAGGGACGAGAUGCAAAAUGAAGGAUUAUUUUAAAAGUUUGGGAAAACGAAAAUUAAGGUUCCAAAUUGUGUAUGACAAGAAACGAAGUAUAACAAAAUUUCCCAUUCUGUUUUCAUAAUUAUUUAAAAUAUUUUAUGUUUAUUCAAUGAUUUGGAACCAACUGCAAAGUCCAAAGAGAACAGACACUACUAUGUUUGGAUUUCAGUUGCCUUUUUGAUGUGUUAUUUAAUUUUUACCCUUUGAAUUGGAAAGUAGAUAUCAGUUUUUUUACUUGCUCAUUGAAGCAGACGUGCAUAGAACUCGUGUAAUUAGUGAAUUUGGCAUCCAUGAUACUGAAAAAUUAUAGAAUUAGAAUGGCCAUGUUGCACGGUGAUAGUAAUUGCAUUCACUACCACUUCAUGUGGAUUAUGUGAAAUCAUUGACCAAUAAUUUCCCUCUCUUCAUAUUUUAGUAGUAAAC